UACGUAGUGUGCGAGCGUUGUCCGGAAUUAUUGGGCGUAAAGGGCUCGUAGGCGGUCUGUCGCGUCGGGAGUGAAAACUCAGGGCUUAACCCUGAGCCUGCUUCCGAUACGGGCAGACUAGAGGUAUGCAGGGGAGAACGGAAUUCCUGGUGUAGCGGUGGAAUGCGCAGAUAUCAGGAGGAACACCGGUGGCGAAGGCGGUUCUCUGGGCAUUACCUGACGCUGAGGAGCGAAAGUGUGGGGAGCGAACAGG
Molecule: ribosomal RNA, 253 nt
Filed under: uncultured bacterium
Lineage: Bacteria
Description: partial 16S ribosomal RNA
Rfam family: Bacterial small subunit ribosomal RNA
Source: RNAcentral